UACGAGGGGGGCAAGCGUUGUUCGGAAUUACUGGGCGUAAAGCGCGCGUAGGCGGCUUUGUAAGUUAGAGGUGAAAGCCCAGGGCUUAACCCUGGAAUUGCCUUUAAGACUGCAUCGCUAGAAUCGUGGAGAGGUGAGUGGAAUUCCGAGUGUAGAGGUGAAAUUCGUAGAUAUUCGGAAGAACACCAGUGGCGAAGGCGACUCACUGGACACGUAUUGACGCUGAGACGCGAAAGCGUGGGGAGCAAACAGG
This 253-nucleotide ribosomal RNA is filed under the name uncultured bacterium. RNAcentral describes it as "partial 16S ribosomal RNA". It matches the Rfam family "Bacterial small subunit ribosomal RNA", at positions 524 to 776 of the family's 1533-position model. The record is from RNAcentral.